UCUCAACUAUCAUAACAAGAUGUCAAUACACAAUGUCUUAAGUUGAUAAAUCACGAAGUGGCUGAAUGAGUAAAUUAUUUAAACACAAAGAGGUAAAUAAUAGAUAAAACAGCUAGCAGUUGCAAGUGGCGGCCUCUCAAGAGCAGUAUGGGUAAGAGAUGGAGCAGAGGUUCCACUGUAUCCCCAUGUGAGUCUCACUAUGUAGGAGAGCUGUUACUGAGUAUGUUGCAAUGGAGUCAGAAAAAA
Ceratotherium simum simum (southern white rhinoceros) is the source of this 246-nucleotide non-coding RNA. NCBI's taxonomy places the organism in Eukaryota, Metazoa, Chordata, Mammalia, Perissodactyla, Rhinocerotidae. The record is from RefSeq and is a predicted model, not a curated record.